This 467-nucleotide ribosomal RNA is filed under the name uncultured bacterium. Its description in RNAcentral is "partial 16S ribosomal RNA". It matches the Rfam family "Bacterial small subunit ribosomal RNA", at positions 28 to 507 of the family's 1533-position model. The record is from RNAcentral.
GACGAACGCUGGCGGCGUGCUUAACACAUGCAAGUCGAACGGAAAGGCCUCUUUCGGGGGGUACUCGAGUGGCGAACGGGUGAGUAACACGUGAGUAACCUGCCCUUGACUUUGGGAUAACUUCAGGAAACAGGGGCUAAUACCGGAUAGGAGCUCCUGCUGCAUGGUGGGGGUUGGAAAGUUUCGGCGGUUGGGGAUGGACUCGCGGCUCAUCAGCUUGUUGGUGGGGUAGUGGCUUACCAAGGCUUUGACGGGUAGCCGGCCUGAGAGGGUGACCGGCCACAUUGGGACUGCGAUACGGCCCAGACGCCUACGGGAGGCAGCAGUGGGGAGUAUUGCACAAUGGGUGGAAGCCUGAUGCAGCAACGCCGUGUGCGUGAUGACGGCCUUCGGGUUGUAAACCGCUUUCGCUCAUGACGGAGCUUUGUGUGACGGUAGUGGGUAAAGAAGCACCGGCUAACUACGUG